RNAcentral lists this ribosomal RNA (253 nucleotides) under uncultured bacterium. Its description in RNAcentral is "partial 16S ribosomal RNA". It matches the Rfam family "Bacterial small subunit ribosomal RNA", at positions 524 to 776 of the family's 1533-position model. The record is from RNAcentral.
UACAGAGGUCUCAAGCGUUGUUCGGAGUUACUGGGCGUAAAGGGUGUGUAGGCGGUUCUUUAAGUUUGGUGUGAAAUCUCCCGGCUCAACCGGGAGGGUGCGCCGAAUACUGAGGGACUCGAGUGCGGGAGAGGAAAGUGGAAUUCCUGGUGUAGCGGUGAAAUGCGUAGAUAUCAGGAGGAACACCGGUGGUGUAGACGGCUUUCUGGACCGUAACUGACGCUGAGACACGAAAGCGUGGGUAGCAAACAGG